RNAcentral lists this ribosomal RNA (411 nucleotides) under uncultured bacterium. Its description in RNAcentral is "partial 16S ribosomal RNA". It matches the Rfam family "Bacterial small subunit ribosomal RNA", at positions 355 to 755 of the family's 1533-position model. The record is from RNAcentral.
UGGGGAAUUUUGGACGAAUUGGGCGAAAGCCUGAUCCAGCAAUGCCGCGUGUGUGAAGAAGGCCUUCGGGUUGUAAAGCACUUUUGUCCGGAAAGAAAUCCUUGGCUCUAAUACAGUCGGGGGAUGACGGUACCGGAAGAAUAAGCACCGGCUAACUACGUGCCAGCAGCCGCGGUAAUACGUAGGGUGCAAGCGUUAAUCGGAAUUACUGGGCGUAAAGCGUGCGCAGGCGGUUUGCUAAGACCGAUGUGAAAUCCCCGGGCUCAACCUGGGAACUGCAUUGGUGACUGGCAGGCUAGAGUAUGGCAGAGGGGGGUAGAAUUCCACGUGUAGCAGUGAAAUGCGUAGAGAUGUGGAGGAAUACCGAUGGCGAAGGCAGCCCCCUGGGCCAAGUACUGACGCUCAUGCACG